GGGGAAUAUUGCACAAUGGGGGAAACCCUGAUGCAGCGACCCCCCGUGGAGGAAGAAGGUCUUCGGAUUGUAAACUCCUGUUGUUGAGGAAGAUAAUGACGGUACUCAACAAGGAAGUGACGGCUAACUACGUGCCAGCAGCCGCGGUAAAACGUAGGUCACAAGCGUUGUCCGGAAUUACUGGGUGUAAAGGGAGCGCAGGCGGGAGAACAAGUUGGAAGUGAAAUCCAUGGGCUCAACCCAUGAACUGCUUUCAAAACUGUUUUUCUUGAGUAGUGCAGAGGUAGGCGGAAUUCCCGGUGUAGCGGUGGAAUGCGUAGAUAUCGGGAGGAACACCAGUGGCGAAGGCGGCCUACUGGGCACCAACUGACGCUGAGGCUCCAAAGUGUGGGUAGCAAACAGCGAUUAGAUACCCUGGUAGUCCACACCGUAAACGAUGAUUACUAGGUGUUGGAGGAUUGACCCCUUCAGUGCCGCAGUUAACACAAUAAGUAAUCCACCUGGGGAGUACGACCGCAAGGUUGAAACUCAAAGGAAUUGACGGGGGCCCGCACAAGCAGUGGAGUAUGUGGUUUAAUUCGACGCAACGCGAAGAACCUUACCAAGUCUUGACAUCCCUUGACGAUGCUGGAAACAGUAUUUCUCUUCGGAGCAAGGAGACAGGUGGUGCAUGGUUGUCGUCAGCUCGUGUCGUGAGAUGUUGGGUUAAGUCCCGCAACGAGCGCAACCCUUAUGGUCAGUUACUACGCAAGAGGACUCUGGCCAGACUGCCGUUGACAAAACGGAGGAAGGUGGGGAGGACGUCAAAUCAUCAUGCCCUUUAUGACUUGGGCUACACACGUACUACAAUGGCGUUAAACAAAGAGAAGCAAGACCGCGAGGUGGAGCAAAACUCAGAAACAACGUCCCAGUUCGGACUGCAGGCUGCAACUCGCCUGCACGAAGUCGGAAUUGCUAGUAAUCGUGGAUCAGCAUGCCACGGUGAAUACGUUCCCG
Molecule: ribosomal RNA, 996 nt
Filed under: uncultured bacterium
Lineage: Bacteria
Description: bacterial SSU rRNA
Rfam family: Bacterial small subunit ribosomal RNA
Source: RNAcentral